UAUGUGAUCGUCUCUCGCAUAUCAAUAAGCGGAGGAAAAGAAACUAACAAGGAUUCCCCUAGUAACGGCGAGUGAAGCGGGAAGAGCUCAAAUUUGAAAUCUUAAAGGGUUUCCCUUUACGAAUUGUAGUUUAAAGAAGUGUUUUCUGUUGAGGUUUUGGUAAAAGUUCUUUGGAAUAGGACAUCAUAGAAGGGUGAGAAUCCCGUAUUUGACCUUUACUUUCAACUUUGUGAUACACUUUCAAGGAGUCGGAUUGUUUGGGAAUGCAGUCCAAAAUGGAUGGUAAAUUUCAUCUAAAGCUAAAUAUUGGCGAGAGACCGAUAGCGAGCAAGUACCGUGAGGGAAAGAUGAAAAGAACUUUGAAAAGAGAGUUAAACAGUACGUGAAAUUGUCAAAAGGGAAGCGUUUGACACCAGUGUUGUUUUUCUGAAAAUCAAUUAAAGAACUGUUUAUGCUAAGCUGUUUAGACUUUAUCAGCUAUCUGUUUAGUUUUGAGCUUUUCCUUAAUGCACUUUUCAGUUAACAAGUCAACAUCAAUUUCUUUUGCUGUAAAAAAGCUUGAGGAAGGUGGCUUGAGAUUCGUCUUAAGUGUUUAUAGCCUCUUGCCUAUGCAGUCGGAGAGAUUGAGGUCUGCAGCGUAGAUCCUUCGGGGCUAAAUGCAUUUGUGCUAAGUUAUAGCAUUUUAUAGACAACUUGUUGACUAUGAUUUGUCUUGUAGCUUACUCGCUUAUGUUAUUUUACCUACGCUUAGGAUGUUGAUCUACAGAGCGAGAGU
Molecule: ribosomal RNA, 775 nt
Filed under: uncultured Neocallimastigales
Lineage: Eukaryota; Fungi; Neocallimastigomycota; Neocallimastigomycetes; Neocallimastigales
Description: partial large subunit ribosomal RNA
Rfam family: Eukaryotic large subunit ribosomal RNA
Source: RNAcentral